Molecule: ribosomal RNA, 524 nt
Filed under: uncultured bacterium
Lineage: Bacteria
Description: partial 16S ribosomal RNA
Rfam family: Bacterial small subunit ribosomal RNA
Source: RNAcentral
GACGAACGCUGGCGGCGUGCCUAAUACAUGCAAGUCGAACGAAGCUUUUUUAACUGGUGCUUGCACCGACUUAAACAACUGAGUGGCGAACGGGUGAGUAACACGUGGGUAACCUGCCCCAAAGCGGGGGAUAACAUUUGGAAACAGAUGCUAAUACCGCAUAACCACAGAAACCACAUGGUUUCUGUGUCAAAGAUGGUUUCGGCUAUCACUUUGGGAUGGACCCGCGGCGUAUUAGCUAGUUGGUAAGGUAAUGGCUUACCAAGGCAAUGAGACGUAGCCGAACUGAGAGGUUGAUCGGCAACAUUGGGAAUGAGACACGGCCCAAACUCCUACAGGAGGCAGCAGUAGGGAAUCUUCCACAAUGGACGAAAGUCUGAUGGAGCAACGCCGCGUGAGUGAAGAAGGUUUUCGGAUCGUAAAACUCUGUUGUCAGAGAAGAACGUGUGCGAGAGUAACUGUUCGUGCAGUGACGGUAUCUGGCCAGAAAGCCACGGCUAACUACGUGCCAGCCGCCGCGGUAA